This 255-nucleotide ribosomal RNA is filed under the name uncultured bacterium. Its description in RNAcentral is "partial 16S ribosomal RNA". It matches the Rfam family "Bacterial small subunit ribosomal RNA", at positions 524 to 776 of the family's 1533-position model. The record is from RNAcentral.
UACGAAGGGUGCAAGCGUUAAUCGGAAUUACUGGGCGUAAAGCGUGCGUAGGCGGUUGUUUAAGUCUGCUGUGAAAUCCCCGGGCUCAACCUGGGAAUGGCAGUGGAUACUGGACGGCUAGAGUGUGUCAGAGGGUGGUGGAAUUCCCGGUGUAGCGGUGAAAUGCGUAGAGAUCGGGAGGAACAUCAGUGGCGAAGGCGGCCACCUGGGACAACACUGGACGCUGAGGCACGAAAGCGUGGGGGAGCAAACAGG